This 2904-nucleotide ribosomal RNA is filed under the name Escherichia coli DEC8A. RNAcentral describes it as "bacterial LSU rRNA". It matches the Rfam family "Bacterial large subunit ribosomal RNA". The record is from RNAcentral. Lineage: Bacteria; Pseudomonadati; Pseudomonadota; Gammaproteobacteria; Enterobacterales; Enterobacteriaceae.
UUAAGCGACUAAGCGUACACGGUGGAUGCCCUGGCAGUCAGAGGCGAUGAAGGACGUGCUAAUCUGCGAUAAGCGUCGGUAAGGUGAUAUGAACCGUUAUAACCGGCGAUUUCCGAAUGGGGAAACCCAGUGUGAUUCGUCACACUAUCAUUAACUGAAUCCAUAGGUUAAUGAGGCGAACCGGGGGAACUGAAACAUCUAAGUACCCCGAGGAAAAGAAAUCAACCGAGAUUCCCCCAGUAGCGGCGAGCGAACGGGGAGGAGCCCAGAGCCUGAAUCAGUGUGUGUGUUAGUGGAAGCGUCUGGAAAGGCGCGCGAUACAGGGUGACAGCCCCGUACACAAAAAUGCACAUGCUGUGAGCUCGAUGAGUAGGGCGGGACACGUGGUAUCCUGUCUGAAUAUGGGGGGACCAUCCUCCAAGGCUAAAUACUCCUGACUGACCGAUAGUGAACCAGUACCGUGAGGGAAAGGCGAAAAGAACCCCGGCGAGGGGAGUGAAAAAGAACCUGAAACCGUGUACGUACAAGCAGUGGGAGCACAGAGCAAUCUGUGUGACUGCGUACCUUUUGUAUAAUGGGUCAGCGACUUAUAUUCUGUAGCAAGGUUAACCGAAUAGGGGAGCCGAAGGGAAACCGAGUCUUAACUGGGCGUUAAGUUGCAGGGUAUAGACCCGAAACCCGGUGAUCUAGCCAUGGGCAGGUUGAAGGUUGGGUAACACUAACUGGAGGACCGAACCGACUAAUGUUGAAAAAUUAGCGGAUGACUUGUGGCUGGGGGUGAAAGGCCAAUCAAACCGGGAGAUAGCUGGUUCUCCCCGAAAGCUAUUUAGGUAGCGCCUCGUGAAUUCAUCUCCGGGGGUAGAGCACUGUUUCGGCAAGGGGGUCAUCCCGACUUACCAACCCGAUGCAAACUGCGAAUACCGGAGAAUGUUAUCACGGGAGACACACGGCGGGUGCUAACGUCCGUCGUGAAGAGGGAAACAACCCAGACCGCCAGCUAAGGUCCCAAAGUCAUGGUUAAGUGGGAAACGAUGUGGGAAGGCCCAGACAGCCAGGAUGUUGGCUUAGAAGCAGCCAUCAUUUAAAGAAAGCGUAAUAGCUCACUGGUCGAGUCGGCCUGCGCGGAAGAUGUAACGGGGCUAAACCAUGCACCGAAGCUGCGGCAGCGACGCUGAUGCGUUGUUGGGUAGGGGAGCGUUCUGUAAGCCUGUGAAGGUGUGCUGUGAGGCAUGCUGGAGGUAUCAGAAGUGCGAAUGCUGACAUAAGUAACGAUAAAGCGGGUGAAAAGCCCGCUCGCCGGAAGACCAAGGGUUCCUGUCCAACGUUAAUCGGGGCAGGGUGAGUCGACCCCUAAGGCGAGGCCGAAAGGCGUAGUCGAUGGGAAACAGGUUAAUAUUCCUGUACUUGGUGUUACUGCGAAGGGGGGACGGAGAAGGCUAUGUUGGCCGGGCGACGGUUGUCCCGGUUUAAGCGUGUAGGCUGGUUUUCCAGGCAAAUCCGGAAAACUAAGACUGAGGCGUGAUGACGAGGCACUACGGUGCUGAAGCAACAAAUGCCCUGCUUCCAGGAAAAGCCUCUAAGCAUCAGGUAACAUCAAAUCGUACCCCAAACCGACACAGGUGGUCAGGUAGAGAAUACCAAGGCGCUUGAGAGAACUCGGGUGAAGGAACUAGGCAAAAUGGUGCCGUAACUUCGGGAGAAGGCACGCUGAUAUGUAGGUGAAGUCCCUCGCGGAUGGAGCUGAAAUCAGUCGAAGAUACCAGCUGGCUGCAACUGUUUAUUAAAAACACAGCACUGUGCAAACACGAAAGUGGACGUAUACGGUGUGACGCCUGCCCGGUGCCGGAAGGUUAAUUGAUGGGGUCAGCGCAAGCGAAGCUCUUGAUCGAAGCCCCGGUAAACGGCGGCCGUAACUAUAACGGUCCUAAGGUAGCGAAAUUCCUUGUCGGGUAAGUUCCGACCUGCACGAAUGGCGUAAUGAUGGCCAGGCUGUCUCCACCCGAGACUCAGUGAAAUUGAACUCGCUGUGAAGAUGCAGUGUACCCGCGGCAAGACGGAAAGACCCCGUGAACCUUUACUAUAGCUUGACACUGAACAUUGAGCCUUGAUGUGUAGGAUAGGUGGGAGGCUUUGAAGUGUGGACGCCAGUCUGCAUGGAGCCGACCUUGAAAUACCACCCUUUAAUGUUUGAUGUUCUAACGUUGACCCGUAAUCCGGGUUGCGGACAGUGUCUGGUGGGUAGUUUGACUGGGGCGGUCUCCUCCUAAAGAGUAACGGAGGAGCACGAAGGUUGGCUAAUCCUGGUCGGACAUCAGGAGGUUAGUGCAAUGGCAUAAGCCAGCUUGACUGCGAGCGUGACGGCGCGAGCAGGUGCGAAAGCAGGUCAUAGUGAUCCGGUGGUUCUGAAUGGAAGGGCCAUCGCUCAACGGAUAAAAGGUACUCCGGGGAUAACAGGCUGAUACCGCCCAAGAGUUCAUAUCGACGGCGGUGUUUGGCACCUCGAUGUCGGCUCAUCACAUCCUGGGGCUGAAGUAGGUCCCAAGGGUAUGGCUGUUCGCCAUUUAAAGUGGUACGCGAGCUGGGUUUAGAACGUCGUGAGACAGUUCGGUCCCUAUCUGCCGUGGGCGCUGGAGAACUGAGGGGGGCUGCUCCUAGUACGAGAGGACCGGAGUGGACGCAUCACUGGUGUUCGGGUUGUCAUGCCAAUGGCACUGCCCGGUAGCUAAAUGCGGAAGAGAUAAGUGCUGAAAGCAUCUAAGCACGAAACUUGCCCCGAGAUGAGUUCUCCCUGACUCCUUGAGAGUCCUGAAGGAACGUUGAAGACGACGACGUUGAUAGGCCGGAUGUGUAAGCGCAGCGAUGCGUUGAGCUAACCGGUACUAAUGAACCGUGAGGCUUAACCUU